GAUGAAGAACGUAGCGAAAUGCGAUACGUAAUGUGAAUUGCAAAUUCAGUGAAUCAUCGAGUCUUUGAACGCACAUUGCGCCCCCUGGUAUUCCGGGGGGCAUGCCUGUCCGAGCGUCAUUGCUGCCCUCAAGCACGGCUUGUGUGUUGGGCCCCGUCCUCCGAUCCCGGGGGACGGGCCCGAAAGGCAGCGGCGGCACCGCGUCCGGUCCUCGAGCGUAUGGGGCUUUGUCACCCGCUCCGUAGGCCCGGCCGGCGCUUGCCGAUCAACCCAAAUUUUUAUCCAGGUUGACCUCGGAUCAGGUAGGGAUACCCGCUGAACUUAAGCAUAUCAAUAACGGAGGA
Molecule: unclassified non-coding RNA, 344 nt
Filed under: soil metagenome
Description: partial contains 5.8S ribosomal RNA, internal transcribed spacer 2, and large subunit ribosomal RNA
Rfam family: 5.8S ribosomal RNA (bases 1-119)
Source: RNAcentral